Diceros bicornis minor is the source of this 829-nucleotide long non-coding RNA. RefSeq lists it as uncharacterized. The transcript has 3 exons. The record is from RefSeq and is a predicted model, not a curated record. Lineage: Eukaryota; Metazoa; Chordata; Mammalia; Perissodactyla; Rhinocerotidae.
UAUUUUUUUAUUGGAAAAGUUCAUGGAAUUUGAUUGAGGUUCUUGUAGUGGACUAGUAUAUGUAUUACCAGUGGACUAGUAUAUAUAUUGCUUUAGCAAGUCCCAAGCAGAAAGAGAUGAAGAUUGUUUUUUGUCUGUCAAGCUUCAUGUAUCCUUCUCAGGCUGUUUCCUUAUCCUUUUUAUUACUGGAAUAGUAGACAGCCUCAGUUUGGAAAGUAAAGUGGAUUUUAGCAAUCCACAAUACACAGUGGUAGUAGAAAUCAUUAAAGCUGUCUGUUGCCCGACUGUUUGGAAGAUUAUUUGUUGUUCAGAAAAUAUAAUCUCCAGGAGAUGGUGAAGAGUGACAGGGACCCGGCACAGCUUAAUCUAAAGCAGGUAGCACAAGCAGGAAAUGGGAAGAAGCUAAAUUGGAAUCUGGUGACAAAUCAAAUCACAAUGCCCAGCAGAGGGAACAAAUAACCAGCAGGUGGUACCAGAGAAUAGUGAAGAGCUGGAGCAGACAAAACCAAUAUCUGAGACUCAGGUAGUGAAUGAGGGAGGAGCUAAGCCUGAACUUGCAAGUCAAGUCAGAGAAGGAUCUGAGUCAAAUGAAAAUGACCUCUCAUAUGAAAAAAAAUCACUUGGUGUUGGAGACAGAUCUGACGGUCCAGUGCUAUAGUUUUUGAAGGCAAGGUGUGAGAUAGAAGACGACUAUUCUAGGCAUAGAACUACAGGCAUUUCCUAUAAGACUGGAAUCAAGAGGAAUCAUGAGGGAUGCAGGAUGCAGACACCAAUGCAGGCAGAACCAGACAUGCAGAACACUCCACAGAGACAUAGGGAGCAUGUUGUG